AUAACUUAAAAGAAUUGGGUGAUUGAAUAGUAAUUUUAAACAAAGUUUAGGGAAGUAUGUGGGAAUUUACCCACGUUGAAAAAGCUUAGAAGUUACCAAUUCUAUGGCUUCUCCUUUCCAAUCUUUUUGUUAUACCGUUUCUGUUUUUUUUUGUUUUUGGGUAUCCUUCAUCUAUUCUACAGGACUUGUUGAAGCUUCGAUAGAUGCGAUGUCAACAAAAAUAGACCUCUCACUCUCCCGACCCAACCGCAUCUAUCGCCCCUCCGAGCCUCUUGAAGGCAAAAUCGUGGUGAAGUCUGCAUCUUCCAUUUCCCACUAUGGAAUUCGCAUGGCCCUCAACGGCUCAGUCAACCUCCAGGUUCGCGGAGGAUCGGCAGGAGUCAUCGAGUCCUUUUAUGGUGUUGUCAAACCAAUUACCAUCCUGAGUAGGACCCUUGAGAUUAGACCAUCUGGGAAAAUUGUUUCAGGUACAACAGAGAUACCGUUCUCUAUAACUCUGCGGAAUCCUAAAGAAGAUAAUUCAGAAAGGUUUUAUGAGACCUUCCAUGGAACCAAUAUUAGCAUCCAGUAUUUGGCAACUGUAGAUGUCAUGAGAGGAUAUCUGCACAAAUCAUUAUCUGCUACAGUGGAAUUCAUAGUAGAAAGUGAUAAAGCUGAUCUUCUUAAUCCACCAAUUUCUCCUGAGAUGGUUAUCUUUUACAUUACUCAGGACACUCAAAGACAUCCUAUACUUCCAGAACUGAAAUCAGGUGGCUUUCGUAUCACAGGAAGAAUAUCCACGCAAUGUUCGAUGCUUGAACCUCUCAGUGGAGAACUAACAGUGGAAGCAUCUGUGCUUCCCAUUUGUUCUAUUGACAUUCACUUACUUCGUGUAGAGUCAGUUCUUCUUGGGGAAAAAAUCAUCACUGAAACUUCUUUGAUACAGACUACACAGAUAGCAGAUGGAGAUGUCUGUCGCAAUAUGACUCUGCCAAUAUAUGUUGUAUUACCCCGUCUUUUGACUUGUCCAACUGUCUUAGCCGGUCCAUUCUCUAUCGAAUUCAAAGUUGCAAUAGUCAUCAUCUUUCAGUCUGAAUUAUCCAGAUUACAUCCAAAAUCUGAUCCACUAACUCCAAGAUUAUGGAUGGCAAUGGAAACUCUCCCACUUGAACUUGUUCGAGCAAGGCCUUAUGCAUCUUGGACUGUAGAAAGCUGAAGGUUUUCUAUGAUCUACUACAUAAGAACUGAGCAGUGUAGGCUGGGAACCACCAGGAACCGUAGGAAGCAAAUUUUCGAGACAUAUGAUUAAAGGAAAAGAAGUCCUAAAAGAAUUACAACAAUCACUACGAAAGAGCCACAUUUGAUGAUGAGAAGAAAGGAAGGAUUCUUGGUAAGGGAAUUCUAAAUGUUGAUGGAUUUUCUUGAGUUGAAGAACAUGUUUCCAGUUGAAGGAUGUUACAGUAUGUAAAUGAUACACGUUUCAGUAAAUAGUCAGGUGGUUAGGUAGUUGAUAAAGUUGUUAUUUUGUUAAAGUUGUUAACAGUAGUUAAGCCUAUCUCUAUUAUGUAUAUAAACAAUGUCUAUGGACUGGAUGAGGUAGCUAAGAAUUUUUGAAUAAUACCUUCAGAUAUUUCUCUUUGAGUUCUUUAGAA
This is an RNA transcript of Gossypium arboreum, 1631 nucleotides long. RefSeq lists it as uncharacterized. The transcript has 13 exons. NCBI's taxonomy places the organism in Eukaryota, Viridiplantae, Streptophyta, Magnoliopsida, Malvales, Malvaceae. The record is from RefSeq and is a predicted model, not a curated record.